CAAAGAUUAACAUAUUUAUGUAUCUCAUUUACAUUGAGAAAAUAAUUAAUUUAAAAUUAAUUAUCUUUGA
This 70-nucleotide transfer RNA is filed under the name unidentified. Its description in RNAcentral is "Cirrothauma sp. FMNH 309245 tRNA-Val". The record is from RNAcentral.